Molecule: long non-coding RNA, 84 nt
Filed under: Chinchilla lanigera (long-tailed chinchilla)
Lineage: Eukaryota; Metazoa; Chordata; Mammalia; Rodentia; Chinchillidae
Description: lncRNA (ENSCLAG00000024456.1)
Source: RNAcentral
AAGAAAUGGAGAAGUGGAGCUCUGAGCAGGAAAUAGGAGCAUCAAGAAUUCACAAGAUAUUUGUCCCUGGAUACAUAUAUUGAA